Long non-coding RNA from Phyllostomus discolor (pale spear-nosed bat), 2795 nucleotides. RefSeq lists it as uncharacterized. The record is from RefSeq and is a predicted model, not a curated record. The transcript is spliced from 2 exons. NCBI's taxonomy places the organism in Eukaryota, Metazoa, Chordata, Mammalia, Chiroptera, Phyllostomidae.
AUGUUAAAGAGAUACACGAAUACAUAAUUACUAUGUGAGAUAAAUGUAAUGAAGGCAAAAUAAAGAAUAUAAUGAAAUGUUAUAAGCUGAUUCAGAUGGGAAGAGAGGAAGAGGGAAGGUGACAAGUUCUCCAGGCAGAAAGUGUUUCCAGUCAGAGGGAACAGCAUUUACAGGUCCUGUGGAGGAAGUUCAGCAACGUCAACUCACAGUAUUAGCAGGUUAAUAGGGCUUGACUGAACAUGUUGAGGAGGGUGGGGUGAGAGUGGCAGGAGAUGACCUGCCACGCCAGCAGGGGCCAAAACAUUUGGGCAGGUGACUGAAAUGACAAGAAUUAUAGAUUUUGUUCCAAGUUCUGUGGGAAGCCUUUGGAGGAUUUGUAGGAAAGAUGGUAAGAAGAUAAUACUAUGUAAAUUCCAAUUCUAACUACAGUAUUUAAGAAUUUUUUUUCUAGUUCUUUUUCCUUCAAUUUUUUAUUUCUUUUCCCAGAAAAUAUCUUGGAGAAGGGAUGCUUGAAGUUUAAGGUCUAGAGUGUUUAGGGUAAAAAAAAAUCUUUUGAAAAUAUAUUUGAUUCUGCUGAUUAUAGUCUACUUUUAUAUUGCAACAUAAUUCUCUAGUCAGCAGUGGGUUUGUGUAAUUUGAUAGUUGAAAUAAAUUUACCUUUAUUUGAAAAAAAUUGGGAUCAUUAAACUACUAAACUAUAUUUUAGCAAUGUUUAUUAAAUGUAUUACUUAGAGGAGAAAAAAGAACAUAAAAUAAAAUCCCAAAUACCGGGUUUCUUUGAGUUCAAAAAUAAUUUGGAUGAAUGUAGAUCCUUUGAAUAGAGCUGAGUAUCUUUUGGUAGGCAUUAAGGAAAUCUAGUUUCUUCCUAGUAAAUAAAUUUGUUAUGUCACUAUAUAAACCAUAUAGUGUGUGUGUGUAAUUCUGAGAAUUCCAGCACCUACAAUUCCCAUAGUAUGUCUUAGAAAGUGAUUAUGUGCCAAAAUGACUGAAGUUGCAUCAGAAUUGGCUACACAUAUUUUAAUAAAUUAAAUAUCAUCUAUACUCACCAACUACAAUGUAAAGGGAAAAGAAUCUGAAUGAUGAAGAGUGGAUAUUAAUUAUAGGGACAAAAUUAAGAUACAGAAUUUUCUCAAAUGAACUACACUUGUAAUCCACAGUUACAAUAGAAAGUAGACUUUUUACAGAAAUAGAUUCAUGGGAAACUUUUUGGAAAAAUAUAUAGAUCUGGAGAGAAUAAUUUGCUUAAAGUUUUUUUUUAAUGUCAUUUAAAAAAUUAAAUUGGAGAUGAUGGUAUUUUGUAUUUGCCCACAUGUCAUUUUUUUAAAAAAAUUAAUUUUUUGAUUUGAGAAAGGGGUGGGGGGAGAGAGAGAGAUCCAUUGGUUUGUUGCUCCACUGAUAGAUUCAUUUGUUGGUUGAUUCUUACAUGUAACCUGACUGAGGAUUAAAUCUGGAACCUGGGCAUAUUGGGAUAAUGCUCUAACCAACUGAGCUUCCUGGCCAGGGCCCACACACUAUUUUUUGAUGUCCUUACCCUUGUGUAGAUUUGAACUUUCAUCUGGUAUCAUUUUUCUUAUGCCUAUGGACUUUUUUUAUCAUUUUUUUCCUGAUUCAGGUCUGCUAACUAUGAAUUUCUUCUGUACUCUAGGUACAGAAUUCUAGGUUGACAUUCUGUAUUCUUUCUGAAUUUCAAAGAUGUUUCUUCAUUUUCUUUCAUCGGACAAUUAGAAGUCUAAAGUGAUUCUUACCUUUGCCUAUUGUACACAGUGUAUCUUGUUGCUUCUUUUCUUUAUCACUUGUUCUCAAAAAUUUAAUUAUGUUGUUUUCAGUGUAGAUUUUUGAAAAAUCAUGGCUGGGAUUUGCUAAGCUUUUUGAGUCUGUGAGCUUACAGUUUUAUCAAAUUUGGAAAAGUUUCAGCCAUCAUUUCAUGUACGUGUGUGUAUGUGUGUAUUCUACUCUUCCCUCCCACAUUUUCCCCUGCUGCUGAGACUCCAAUGACACAUAAAUUAAGCUGCAUGGUAUUGUCCCAUAGGACAGUGAGGCUCUGUUAAUUUUUUAAAAUUUUAUUUUCUCCCUGCUUGAUUUUGAACAGUUUUUAUUUCUAUGUCUUUCAGUUCACUUCUCCUCCCCACUUCCUGCCCCUGAAGUGUUUAAUUUGCUGGCAACCAGAUUUCACUGAAAAAAAAUUAUACUGACAACAAUGUAUGGACACCUUUGAACUAAACAGCUCUAAACAAUUAAGGCAAAAGUCACUGGAAGACCCUUUAUCAGAGGAUCUGGAGCAUAAUAAUCAUUUUAAUCUUCUUGGUCAAUUCUGGAAUAGUCCCUAAGAAGUACAGUCAUUUUUGAGUUCUGGGGAAUAGGUCUGGUAGGUAGAAAACCAUGUUGAAUCUUUUAACCCCUUCUUGGAAUAUACAAAUUCUGGCUUUAUGCACUUUAGAAUUAACCAGAAUUUUGAUAAUUUAAUCAUUUGAGACAGAAUUAUAAAUAUAUCCACCAUGGUGAUUUCAGACUGAACUAAAAACAUUUAUAUCCAUGUUUUUGGGCUUUGGUUUACUUUUGGCCAUUUGUGAGAAAUGAACAUGACUUCCCAUGAGAGUUUGCUUGGAUGCUUUUGCCAGUAAGAUGCAUCAGUCUUCAGAAGGUUGCUUUUCAAGACAGACUUGUUACACAAUGUGCUUUAGUUGUGUAAUGUGUGUUACCACUUCUGUCAUUAAGGGUAUGGAUCAUGCUUAGCAUGACAUUUUGUGGGAUCCUAGUUGUGUGGUAUAUUUAGAGGCAUCUAACUGGAUAAAUAA